GUGGGGAAUAUUGGACAAUGGACCACAAGUCUGAUCCAGCAAUUCUGUGUGCACGAUGACGUUUUUCGGAAUGUAAAGUGCUUUCAGUCGGGAAGAAGUCAGUGACGGUACCGACAGAAGAAGCGACGGCUAAAUACGUGCCAGCAGCCGCGGUAAUACGUAUGUCGCAAGCGUUAUCCGGAUUUAUUGGGCGUAAAGCGCGUCUAGGCGGCAAGGAAAGUCUGAUGUGAAAAUGCGGAGCUCAACUCCGUAUGGCGUUGGAAACUGCCUUACUAGAGUACUGGAGAGGUAGGCGGAACUACAAGUGUAGAGGUGAAAUUCGUAGAUAUUUGUAGGAAUGCCGAUGGGGAAGCCAGCCUACUGGACAGAUACUGACGCUAAAGCGCGAAAGCGUGGGUAGCAAACAGG
RNAcentral lists this ribosomal RNA (408 nucleotides) under bacterium. RNAcentral describes it as "bacterial SSU rRNA". It matches the Rfam family "Bacterial small subunit ribosomal RNA", at positions 354 to 776 of the family's 1533-position model. The record is from RNAcentral. RNAcentral also lists the same sequence under 1 other name.